This 1029-nucleotide long non-coding RNA is filed under the name Oryctolagus cuniculus (rabbit). RNAcentral describes it as "lncRNA (ENSOCUG00000034697.1)". The record is from RNAcentral. Lineage: Eukaryota; Metazoa; Chordata; Mammalia; Lagomorpha; Leporidae.
AUGCAUCCACACACGCACACACACACACAUCCACACACACACACACAUCCACAUGCACACACACAUCCACACACGCACACACACAUCCACACACGCACGUCCACACACACACAUCCACACACACACAUCCACACACACACACACACGCACGUCCACACACACAUCCACAUGCACACAUGCAUCCACAUGCACACACACAUCCACACACGCACACACACAUCCACACACGCACGUCCACACACACACAUCCACACACACACAUCCACACGCACACACACACGCACGUCCACACACACAUCCACACGCAUGCACACAUCCACAUGCACACACACAUCCACACGCACACACACACAUCCACAUGCACACACACAUCCACACACGCACACACACAUCCACACACACACAUCCACGUGCACACACACAUCCACACGCACACACACACAUCCACACACACACAGACACACACGCACACGCACACAGUUCCCCCUGAAGUUAUCACAGACUUUCUCAGGAAAGGGGAUGCCCAGCUUGCGAUGUCUGAAAAGUCUCAUGGCGGCUUCCACCGCCAAUAAACCGCAUGUCAGUAACUCUAAAAGUCGAUGGAAAAUGGAAUCCAGAGACGAGUUUCUUUUGGGGAAACAUGUCCAUGCCCACGCACAGGUUUUCAGAGCACACAGUCUCCAUCAACUUGUGAGGCGCUGUGGAUUCACACGGAUCAGCUGGCCUUACCCAGCAGGUACUGUUAGUGCACGCCCUACUGAUGGGUUCCGAUCUGUCUACUUCUCAUCUCUGAGGCUUGUGUUACUCAUUUACUUUUCCAUCUAUCUGGAAGGCAGAACUCCGUCCUGGUCUCCCACGUGGGGGGCGGGCCCGAGCACCCGGCCCUCAUCCACUCCUCCUUGGAGCAGGGAGCUGCUCAGAAGAGGCGGCGCUGGGACUCCCCUGGAUCCGAUACGGGACGUGGCUGUCCCGAGGGGUGGCUUCUCCCACUGCCCCACCACGCCUGCCUCUCUGUCUCCUACUUCAUGA